Molecule: small nuclear RNA, 100 nt
Filed under: Sorex araneus (European shrew)
Lineage: Eukaryota; Metazoa; Chordata; Mammalia; Eulipotyphla; Soricidae
Source: RNAcentral
GUCCCCAGUUAGCACAUACAUUAGGAUAGGAACCAUACAGAGACUAGCCUGGGCCCUGCUCAAGGAUGACAUGCACAUUCAUGAAAUGUUCUGUGUUUUG